ACAUAAACUCAAGUUUCUCAAUACUAAUCUCUCUGACCAUGUUAAAUUGAGGCUGUAAAGAUUUUAACCCUUGAUUGUUUAUCCACAUGAUUCUCUAUACUUUUCUUUUGUUUCCGAGUGUCCAGGCAGAUUGCUGUUUAUGUACUCUCUGAAUGAAUGUAGCUCAUUUUUUUGCACACUCUUCUGUUUAUAUAAGCAAAACCUUGAAUGAUAUCAUCCUGUUAUCUAUUAUGCUAGAGCAGAACAAGAAAAUUAAUGAACCAAUAUUAGAGGAAAAAUUCUCAAAUAAUAACAAUUGAUUUUGUCUACGUAGGAAGAAUUUCUCGUAUUAGAGAUAAUUGAUCUGAUAGGGAACCCAUCCCCAUUAUAUAUUAUGAACCAGUAAAUAUUUUAAAAGAGAGUGAUAAGUUACUCAUACCUGCUGCCAGAAGGUCGAUUUAGCAGCUUUCCAGGGGUGAUUUCAACAAAUCACUAAGCUUAUUCAUUCGCCUAUGUUAAGGUUAUUCAAUAUAAUGGCAGCCCUUGUAUAAGAAAAAUAAAAGUACCCGUGCAUUUGUAAAUUUCCUGGUGUGCUGUACUGCCCUUACUGUUUCCUUCUUUUCUUUUCUUUUUUGUGUUUUAUGAUGAUUGAUUGCACUACUUUUGACGGCAGCAAAUGCGGACAAUGGAGCACCGCCAUUUUUAUAACAGAAGAAACAGAUGUUGGACAUUAAUUUCGCUUGUUUGGCUCCGUAGCAAUCAUUUUAUUAACACAACUAUCAUCUUCCAAUUUCUACAUAUCGUUCCCCUCUUUUUGUACUUUCUCUAGAGCUCUAGCUAUAGCUAUUCCAUGCAAGAUCAGCUUUCACAGCUUCAAUUCAAGAAAUGGGUUUUGUGGAAACGGAAGAAUUUUUUCAAGCACUGCGGGGCAAUGCAGGGAUGAUUAUUCUGAAACGUACGUGGGGCAGAGAAUACGACUUUUUACUUUUAUUGAUAAAAAAUCAAGCCGCCACACCACCACUUAUAUUAUUAACCAAACCAUCUCUCAAGUUUUUG
This 1035-nucleotide long non-coding RNA is filed under the name Ricinus communis (castor bean). Its description in RNAcentral is "long non-coding RNA (RCOM_LNC000107)". The record is from RNAcentral. Lineage: Eukaryota; Viridiplantae; Streptophyta; Magnoliopsida; Malpighiales; Euphorbiaceae.